Molecule: long non-coding RNA, 1568 nt
Organism: Bolinopsis microptera
Lineage: Eukaryota; Metazoa; Ctenophora; Tentaculata; Lobata; Bolinopsidae
Exons: 3
Source: RefSeq, a predicted model, not a curated record
UUUCCGAAGAGGUAGCUCAGUUUGAACGCCAUGUUGCACGAUUUUGAGUAGUCCUGCAAUGAAGUCUCUGAUGUUAUCGUGUCUCAUGUGAACAAAGCCCCCCUCUCUUGCACUUAAGUGCGUGUGUCAUUGUGAAAUUUUGGGUGCAAGGAUAGACUGUUGAACUUGAAAAUCAUUUCAACUCCCGAUGGUAUCGCAUAUUUAUUGUGUCUUGAAAUUCUGAGUAAUUUAGGUUAAAUCUCUGCUUUUAAUUGGUUGACCAGCAAACCAAUUUGACGCUCGUAAUAAUAAUUGACUCAAACUCUUUUCUACAGCAUAUAUAUCCUGGAGUCCACAUUUUUGGCAGCUAUUUGACCUUAGGAAUAACAGAUAAGCUGGAAAUAGCAAAUUUCUGACAAUAUUUUAUUGCUAUGAACCUUCCGACUCUAGACCAAGUCGCGCGAUGGGCAGUGUUUCAUAUUUGGCGUGUGCACGUGGACGCCGCGGUUACCAUGGAGAUGUUGGCUGCAAUGUAUGCGCGGUACGCGUGCACGCUCAUUUAUUUAUCUUUCACUUCCAAUUGCUCUUAAACUCAUAAAAAACAAUGGUCAACUUAAAUACAAGUGCAUCAGUGCUCACAGGAAAUGAGAUCAAUCAGUUAUCUGCAGCUGUGAUUCUUCUUGGAGUAUUGGUAUUGGCUCUAGGAUUCCUCGUCAUCGGACUUCACAUUCGUACAGUGAACAAAAUUUCGAAGGUCUUCAACGAAAUUGACUUGGAAGUGGGACUACAAGUUCCUGAACAAAAGCCACCACAACAAGGCCCCUUACAACAGGGAUUGCUAGACCCAAGGUUUCCUGCUUCAAGGACUCUCGACAGCACUAGCAGGUCAAAAAUAUGGAAGACGAGAACGGAAAGGGAUAGAUCAGCGCGUUCAAAGGUAGGUUUGGGUGCCCGCAAACACAAAUACGUGUCUUCGAGUAUCUUCCCAGAUGAACUCGUUUUCAUCUCCGAGAGUGAAGAUUCCAUACGGGUGAAGAAAUUCAUAACGGCGGGUAGAGAAGUCGUCAAAAAAGAAGGGCCUCCAAAAGGGGAGGAUGGAAUAAACUCCUGUGGAAACAAUGAAGUUGAGAAGAAAACCGACAAAGGGGAUCAAAGUGUCUCUGAAUAUGUAACAUCAAAUGAAUCAGAAAGCGAACUAUACACCUACCCAAAUGGAGCAGGGACAGUGACAUUUGAUCCAAGUAACCCAACAGACAAGUUACAGAGAAAUCGUAAAUCGAUCUCAGAAAAUAAUCUGCUAAUCAGAGACAAUACAUCUCGUGGAGCUGGCCAGUUCCCGAAACAGCUUGUAACGAGAUCUCGUGAACAGAAUCAGGGGGAUCAGGAUAAUUGCCUUACUGUUUGAAAAGUCUACCGACAUACGCUUCAACACACGCUCUGACAUACGCUAUGACAUACGCCCUGACACACGCUCUGACAUACGCUCUGACACACGCUCUGACACACGCUCUGAAAUACGCUCGGACACACGCUCGGACACACGCUCGGGCACACGCUCGGACACACAGUCUGACAUACGCUCUGACAUA